This 467-nucleotide ribosomal RNA is filed under the name uncultured bacterium. RNAcentral's name for it is "partial 16S ribosomal RNA". It matches the Rfam family "Bacterial small subunit ribosomal RNA", at positions 28 to 508 of the family's 1533-position model. The record is from RNAcentral.
GACGAACGCUGGCGGCGUGCUUAACACAUGCAAGUCGAACGGUAAGGCUCCAGCUUGCUGGGGUACACGAGUGGCGAACGGGUGAGUAACACGUGGGUGACCUGCCCUGCACUUCGGGAUAAGCCUGGGAAACUGGGUCUAAUACCGGAUAGGACCAUGGUGUGGAUACUGUGGUGGAAAGUUUUUUCGGUGUGGGAUGGGCCCGCGGCCUAUCAGCUUGUUGGUGGGGUAAUGGCCUACCAAGGCGGCGACGGGUAGCCGGCCUGAGAGGGUGGACGGCCACAUUGGGACUGAGACACGGCCCAGACUCCUACGGGAGGCAGCAGUGGGGAAUAUUGCACAAUGGGCGGAAGCCUGAUGCAGCGACGCCGCGUGGGGGAUGACGGCCUUCGGGUUGUAAACUCCUUUCACCAUCGACGAAGGGUUUCUGACGGUAGAUGGAGAAGAAGCACCGGCUAACUACGUGC